This is a long non-coding RNA of Cyprinus carpio carpio, 1161 nucleotides long. The record is from Ensembl. Lineage: Eukaryota; Metazoa; Chordata; Actinopteri; Cypriniformes; Cyprinidae.
UCUGUUGUAUCUGUGGACAUCUUGGGUGCUGCUAUCAGGGUGGUAAUAUGGAACAAGUUUGGUCUGGACACCGUUUCAUUAACAUCCACUGUGUACUUAAAUGGCACAAAAUAUUCCAAAGGAAUGGUGAUCUCAGUUGGGCACACAAGUGGACUACCAGAUUUUGGGAAAGUACUCAAGAUCUGUAUAGUGGAUGGUAGCAUACUUUUCAUUAUUGAACUGUUCACAGCUGGCUUCUUGGAACAUCUAAGGUGUUACCAGCUCACCAAAAAAGACCCUGCAGUAACUGUGGUUGUCCAACCUGAACAGCUGAAUGACUACAUCCCCCUCAUCACAUACCUUGUUGAUGGAAAGCUGCUCAUUACUCCAAGGACGUUCAUGUUACAAUAAGUUACAGCUGUUGAUUUCUCCUCCAAGUUAUUUUCACCUCAAGGUGUGUCACCCUGAGUGCUCCUGAGUCAGCCAAGAAGGAUAAUAUUAAAUAAGUUAAGGUGAACUUUUUUUAAAUAUUUUUUUUACUGUUUUAUUUUUGUACUCACUGCUGGCCUAAUACAAUGACACAAUAUGUUUAAUUCGGACCUUGCUGUUCUUCAUUCAUUGUACAAUUUCAUGACUUUUGUCUAGGGAUGUGCACAAAGAGUCAAAUUUAAAAAAUAUUUGAUCUGUAAUUAGCAAUUAUUGGAAAAAUGAAAAUACUAUUAGAUUUUUUAUAACGUUGCUUUGCUAGCUGUAAAUGCAAUGGACCCAUGAUAAAUAACAAGCACGCAAACUAAAGAUCUGGGACAGUUGAGUAUGGCAGAAUGUCCCAUCGUUACUCACCAAUCGUUAAAGGAUUGUUUACUUUCAAAUGAAAAUUUCCUGAUAAUUUACUUACCCCCAUGUAAUCCAAGAUGUUUAUGUAGGUUUUUGAUGAAAACAUUCCAGGAUUAUUCUCCAUAUAGUGGACUUCAACGGCUUUCAAAUGGUUGAAGGUCAAAAUUACAGUUUAAGUGCAGCAUCAAUGGCUCUACAGGAAACGCACACAUGACCAUUUUAAACAAUAAACUGAAACAAAGACAUUUGAAUCUCCUCAUUUGUAAACACUAGUCGGUGACAAGUGUGACCUUUUCAACGUGAUUUCCAUAGCUUUGCAGAGUAGUGCAAGGUGAGCAUUUGUGUUUA